GACGAAGGUGGCAAGCGUUGUUCGGAAUUAUUGGGCUUAAAGCGCACGCAGGCGGGAAGUUAAGUGUCCUGUGAAAUCCCCCGGCUCAACCGGGGAAUGGCGGGGCAAACUGACUUUCUUGAGGCCGGUAGGGGUGCAUGGAACUCCAGGUGGAGCGGUGAAAUGCGUAGAUAUCUGGAGGAACGCCAGCGGUGAAAACGGUGCACUGGGCCGGUGCUGACGCUGAGGUGCGAAAGCGUGGGGAGCGAACGGG
RNAcentral lists this ribosomal RNA (253 nucleotides) under uncultured bacterium. RNAcentral describes it as "partial 16S ribosomal RNA". It matches the Rfam family "Bacterial small subunit ribosomal RNA", at positions 524 to 776 of the family's 1533-position model. The record is from RNAcentral.